Phascolarctos cinereus (koala) is the source of this 592-nucleotide long non-coding RNA. RefSeq lists it as uncharacterized. NCBI's taxonomy places the organism in Eukaryota, Metazoa, Chordata, Mammalia, Diprotodontia, Phascolarctidae. The record is from RefSeq and is a predicted model, not a curated record.
GAAUGCCCUGUUCGGGAGGAGGGAGCUGUCCAGAUCUAUAGAACGCUGAGUGCGUGAGAGGGAGUAGUAAGUGAUCAGUGUACACGGUUGGCUGGAGGUGAACAGACAAGGGUGGUGGCGAUGGUGUCCUUUUGAGAAUCCAGGGCAAGGCUGCCUUGACUUGGGCCCUCUGGGCCUGGAUUACUCCUGCUCCUUACCCCCAGAACUCAGUAUCCCUGGCUUCCUUGGAGAUCCCACUCAGGUUAAGUGAUCUGAUUCAACGGCAGCCUAAUCCCCAUAUGGCUUUCAAAUGGACUUCAUGUAUAGUGUAUAUUUUUAGAUAAUAAAUCACACAUAUAAAUUUUAUUAACCAUUUAUGGAACCCCUUAAAAUACUUUUUAGAAAUUCUUUCCAAGCCUAGCACCUGUUUAAGACCAUAUGACAUCAUGUCUCUUGGUAUAUUGUUCUAUUAUGAAUAGUGGGAAAGGUUUUCCACCUUGUCAUUAAGCUUUGGCUGCAAAGUUUGUCAUCAUGGAAGGGAAGUACCUGGAAAAUGUGAAUUCAAUCAAAAGCGUGCAGCAGAAACAUGAAAAAUAAAUAGCAGCCUUCUCUG